RNAcentral lists this ribosomal RNA (371 nucleotides) under uncultured organism. Its description in RNAcentral is "partial 16S ribosomal RNA". It matches the Rfam family "Bacterial small subunit ribosomal RNA", at positions 527 to 896 of the family's 1533-position model. The record is from RNAcentral.
GUAGGUGGCAAGCGUUGUCCGGAAUUAUUGGGCGUAAAGCGCGCGCAGGCGGUUCUUUAAGUCUGAUGUGAAAGCCCACGGCUCAACCGUGGAGGGUCAUUGGAAACUGGAGAACUUGAGUACAGAAGAGGAAAGCGGAAUUCCACGUGUAGCGGUGAAAUGCGUAGAGAUGUGGAGGAGCACCAGUGGCGAAGGCGGCUUUCUGGUCUGUAACUGACGCUGAGGCGCGAAAGCGUGGGGGAGCAAACAGGAUUAGAUACCCUGGUAGUCCACGCCGUAAACGAUGAGUGCUAAGUGUUAGGGGGUUUCCGCCCCUUAGUGCUGCAGCUAACGCAUUAAGCACUCCGCCUGGGAGUACGGCCGCAAGGCUG